This 485-nucleotide long non-coding RNA is filed under the name Vitis vinifera (wine grape). Its description in RNAcentral is "long non-coding RNA (VVIN_LNC000162)". The record is from RNAcentral. Lineage: Eukaryota; Viridiplantae; Streptophyta; Magnoliopsida; Vitales; Vitaceae.
UUCAAUCCUUUGAUGAUUCUGAUCUACUCGCAAUUAAACCGACUUAGCUCCAUUCAACUGUAUAUUAGUUUCAGUCACAGUGGUAUACCGCUUCACAAAAUUCAAAAGUGGCAGCAUGGUUCAUAAAUGAACUGCGGGCGUCCUUGUCCUCUGCCCUGCCCACAUUUAAUUUUAAUAUCUACUCUCUUCCAUUUUCACACCUACAUGUUCACACCUAUAACGAAGCCCUCAUUAACUCGUUCUAUAUAAGACCUAUUUAUAUUCAUUAUUCAUAUACAGCACCACCAUAGAUUUAAUAGCUUGUGAUUUUCUUUUGACAUUUCUGUAUUGUAGAACUCGGUUGCUCUGCUUGAGAUUGUAGUCAUGGCUGAGAGUGAAAUCAAGCUUCUGGGUGCAUGGCCAAGCCCAUUUGUGAUGCGAGCUCGGAUCGCCCUUAACAUCAAGUCCGUAGACUACGAGUUCCAUCAAGAGAAACUGGGAUCCAA